GACGAACGCUGGCGGCGUGCCUAAUACAUGCAAGUCGAGCGAAGUUUUUCUGAUGCUUGCACUAGAAAAACUUAGCGGCGAACGGGUGAGUAACACGUAAAGAACCUGCCUCAUAGACUGGGACAACUAUUGGAAACGAUAGCUAAUACCGGAUAACAGUAUUUCUCGCAUGAGAGAUAUUUAAAAGUUGGUUAUGCUAAAACUAUGAGAUGGCUUUGCGGUGCAUUAGCUAGUUGGUGGGGUAAAGGCCCACCAAGGCGACGAUGCAUAGCCGACCUGAGAGGGUGAUCGGCCACACUGGGACUGAGACACGGCCCAGACUCCUACGGGAGGCAGCAGUAGGGAAUCUUCCGCAAUGGGCGAAAGCCUGACGGAGCAACGCCGCGUGAGUGAAGAAGGAUUUCGGUUCGUAAAGCUCUGUUGUUAGGGAAGAAUGGAUAUGUAGUAACUAUACAUGUAAGAGACGGUACCUAACCAGAAAGCCACGGCUAACUACGUG
RNAcentral lists this ribosomal RNA (499 nucleotides) under uncultured bacterium. RNAcentral's name for it is "partial 16S ribosomal RNA". It matches the Rfam family "Bacterial small subunit ribosomal RNA", at positions 28 to 507 of the family's 1533-position model. The record is from RNAcentral.